AGGCUAAGGAGACGAUUUUGGCUUUAGCAGAAAGGGGGGAGGGACUGAGAAGUUGUCGAUGUUCAAAUUCUUUGGCUAAAUCCUGGAUCUUAACAAUCCUAUCUACAGCACCUUUUUAAACGUUUUAGUUUUAUUUUUCA
Etheostoma cragini (Arkansas darter) is the source of this 140-nucleotide long non-coding RNA. RefSeq lists it as uncharacterized. The record is from RefSeq and is a predicted model, not a curated record. NCBI's taxonomy places the organism in Eukaryota, Metazoa, Chordata, Actinopteri, Perciformes, Percidae. The transcript has 3 exons.